GGGAAAAGUUUGUGAAGGCUCAUAACCUUUAGUAGUAUAUGUUAUUGUAUCUUUCCUU
Molecule: transfer RNA, 58 nt
Filed under: Rhodosoma turcicum
Lineage: Eukaryota; Metazoa; Chordata; Ascidiacea; Phlebobranchia; Corellidae
Description: transfer RNA-Met
Source: RNAcentral